GAUGAACGCUGGCGGCGUGCUUAACACAUGCAAGUCGAACGAAGCACUUUACUACGAUUUCUUCGGAAUGACGGUUUUGUGACUGAGUGGCGGACGGGUGAGUAACGCGUGGAUAACCUGCCUCAUACAGGGGGAUAACAGCCGGAAACGGCUGCUAAUACCGCAUAAGCGCACGGUACCGCAUGGUACAGUGUGAAAAACUCCGGUGGUAUGGGAUGGAUCCGCGUCUGAUUAGCCAGUUGGCGGGGUAACGGCCCACCAAAGCGACGAUCAGUAGCCGACCUGAGAGGGUGACCGGCCACAUUGGGACUGAGACACGGCCCAAACUCCUACGGGAGGCAGCAGUGGGGAAUAUUGCACAAUGGGGGAAACCCUGAUGCAGCGACGCCGCGUGAGCGAGAAG
RNAcentral lists this ribosomal RNA (403 nucleotides) under uncultured bacterium. RNAcentral's name for it is "bacterial SSU rRNA". It matches the Rfam family "Bacterial small subunit ribosomal RNA", at positions 28 to 412 of the family's 1533-position model. The record is from RNAcentral.